GGGGGUUUCACUGUUUUGGCCAGGCUGGUCUCGAGCUCCUGAUCUCGUGAUCCGCCCGCUUCGGCCUUACAAAGUGCUGGGAUUACAAGCGUGAGCCACCGUGCCCGGCUCAUCCUGCUUUUGGUUUCAGGUCUCCAUGCCAGUGAAAUGUCACCUCAACUCCACCGUCCCUGGUGUCAGGCAAGCCCGAGGGACCCAAUUCUGCCUUUCUUCUGGAUUUUCCUAACCUGUUAAGAGUCUUGAAAGUCCUUAAACCACGGGAGACUAUCUGGCACAUGACACGGGAUGAGACUUGGUGGGGGUCCCACGGGGGACAGGUCCUUCCAGCGGUUCCUCUGCACCCAGCGCUGCACGGGCAUGGGGCGUGGGUAAUCAGCCUCCCGAAAGCCACGCGAGUCACGGUCCUGCCUGCGAAGAACUCCCAGGGCGACCUUGGGGCUGAGGAGUGGGCCUGCUUCGGCCUUCUGCUCUUCUGUUGUGUGGUGACCCUCACCAGAGGACAGCUUCAUGCUCUUGGACUUCCCAGCCUCAAGAACUGUAAGAAAUAAAUUUCUUUAUAAGUUGCCCAGUCUGUGGUAUUUGGUUAUAGCAGCAGGAAAUGGAGUGAGACAAUGCCCUUUACCAGAUCAAAUUCCCUUUCAUUUCUACUUUGCUGUUUUUACCAUUAAUAGAAUGUGAAAUAUAACAAUAAACAAUAACGUUUGACACUUUGAAACGUAUCAAAUGUUAUUUUUUGGCGUCUAUUGAGAUGAUUAUAUUGUUUUUCUCUUUUAUGCUAUUCAAAUGUUUAAUCAAAUUGACUUUCAAAUGUUGCAUCUAACUUGAAUUCCUGGGUCAAAUUUCACUUGUCAUGAUGUAUUAUCUUUUUUACAUAUUGCUAGGUUUGAUUUGCUAAUACUUUCUUAAGCAUAUUUUUGUGUCUGUAUUCAUGAGAGAUAUUGAUUUAUCAUUGUCUUUUUCUGUAAUGUCUUUCUAAGUUUGGGUAUACUCAUUAUUCUGGCUUUAUAAAAUAAACUCAGUUUCCUGAGAGUCUUAUAAGAUUAGCAUUAUUUCUUCUUUCAAUGUUUGAUACCAUUCACCAGUAACACCAU
Molecule: long non-coding RNA, 1091 nt
Filed under: Homo sapiens (human)
Lineage: Eukaryota; Metazoa; Chordata; Mammalia; Primates; Hominidae
Description: non-protein coding lnc-CHMP7-1:4
Source: RNAcentral